This 577-nucleotide ribosomal RNA is filed under the name uncultured bacterium. RNAcentral describes it as "bacterial SSU rRNA". It matches the Rfam family "Bacterial small subunit ribosomal RNA", at positions 336 to 904 of the family's 1533-position model. The record is from RNAcentral.
UUCCUACGGGAGGCAGCAGUGGGGAAUAUUGGACAAUGGGCGAAAGCCUGAUCCAGCCAUGCCGCGUGUGUGAAGAAGGCCUUUUGGUUGUAAAGCACUUUAAGCGAGGAGGAGGCUACUUGGAUUAAUACUCUAGGAUAGUGGACGUUACUCGCAGAAUAAGCACCGGCUAACUCUGUGCCAGCAGCCGCGGUAAUACAGAGGGUGCGAGCGUUAAUCGGAUUUACUGGGCGUAAAGCGUGCGUAGGCGGCUUUUUAAGUCGGAUGUGAAAUCCCUGAGCUUAACUUAGGAAUUGCAUUCGAUACUGGGAAGCUAGAGUAUGGGAGAGGAUGGUAGAAUUCCAGGUGUAGCGGUGAAAUGCGUAGAGAUCUGGAGGAAUACCGAUGGCGAAGGCAGCCAUCUGGCCUAAUACUGACGCUGAGGUACGAAAGCAUGGGGAGCAAACAGGAUUAGAUACCCUGGUAGUCCAUGCCGUAAACGAUGUCUACUAGCCGUUGGGGCCUUUGAGGCUUUAGUGGCGCAGCUAACGCGAUAAGUAGGCCGCCUGGGGAGUACGGUCGCAAGACUAAAACUCAA